CGUGCUUUGAAGAAUCUGCCGAAAAACGAAGGAUUAUUUAACAACAGUGAUUGUAUUAAGAUUUGACUGGAUUUGGCAAGAUGCCCUUGCUCAUUAAAGAAGAUGGAGAUGUGGCUUUUAUCAGACUGUUGACAUGCCAGCUUUUUCACUAUGUUGUUAGUAAAGCAUCUUUCAGAGAAAAGGCUCAUGUAGUCUGGCUUGACAGUGUUGUCAACUGGAACACAUUCUCCGGGGUGUAGAGAUUUAUUUACAGACUGUCCACCAGGUCGAGUUGGAGGAAGGGUGUCCCAGGGAUGAAUUGUUCAUCUAUUCUGCAUCAGUAAAGCAGUGGUGGCGUGGCACUGACUUUAAACUAUUUAAGAUCAAACUGUGACAAAAGCUUUACCUGUGCUGACUGCAGUCAGUUAUAUGUGACCCUGCCUGUGAAAAAACAGGAUAAGUCUUGAAAUGUAAUUAUGAUAUAAUGAGCAUCAAAGUGUUAUUUUCAUUACUUUCACAUUGAUUUUGACAUUUGACAUGAUUUUACUCAGUCAACCCCACACACCCAGCCAACUUUUUCUUUGAACUUUUGCCCUUUGGCCGGCGCUACAAAGCACUGAACACUAUAAACAACAGUUUGUUCCUCAGGUUAUAUACCUAAACAAUUAAAGCACCCAUAACUUCCACACCUGUCAUAACUGUAUAUUGUUUAUAAUCACC
This is a non-coding RNA of Misgurnus anguillicaudatus (oriental weatherfish), 699 nucleotides long. NCBI's taxonomy places the organism in Eukaryota, Metazoa, Chordata, Actinopteri, Cypriniformes, Cobitidae. The record is from RefSeq and is a predicted model, not a curated record.